Molecule: ribosomal RNA, 440 nt
Filed under: uncultured bacterium
Lineage: Bacteria
Description: partial 16S ribosomal RNA
Rfam family: Bacterial small subunit ribosomal RNA
Source: RNAcentral
CCUACGGGUGGCUGCAGUGGGGAAUAUUGGACAAUGGGGGGAACCCUGAUCCAGCGACGCCGCGUGAGUGAAGACGUCUUUCGGUAUGUAAAGCUCUAUCAGCAGGGAAGAAAAUGACGGUACCUGUCUCAGAAGCCCCGGCUAACUACGUGCCAGCAGCCGCGGUAAUACGUAGGGUGCCAGCGUUAUACGGAUUUACUGGGUGUAAAGGGAGCGUAGACGGUGCAGCAAGUCUGAUGUGAAAGGUCGGGGCCCAACCCCGGGACUGCAGUGGAAACUGUUGAACUUGAGUACAGGUGAGGUAGGCGGAAUUCCUAGUGUAGCGGUGAAAUGCGUAGAUAUUAGGAGGAACACCAGUGGCGAAGGCAGCUUACUGGACUGUAACUGACGUUGAGGCUCGAAAGCGUGGGGAGCAAACAGGAUUAGAUACCCCAGUAGUC